Molecule: ribosomal RNA, 314 nt
Filed under: uncultured bacterium
Lineage: Bacteria
Description: bacterial SSU rRNA
Rfam family: Bacterial small subunit ribosomal RNA
Source: RNAcentral
GAACGAACGUUGGCGGUGUGGAUUAGGCAUGCAAGUCGCGCGCGAAAGCCGUUCGGGUGAGUAAAGCGGCGAACGGGUGAGUAAUACGUAACCAACCUGCCCCCUCAGAUCGGAAUAACCACUGGAAACGGUGGGUAAUGCCCGGAUGGUCCCCUCGGACGGCAUCGUCCUUUGGGUAAACGGCGGCUCUGCCGCUGCUGAGGGAGGGGUUGCGGCCUAUCAGCUUGUUGGUGGGGUUAACGGCCUACCAAGGCGAUGACGGGUAGCCGGUCUGAGAGGACGAUCGGCCACACUGGGACUGAGACACUGCCCCA